This 160-nucleotide ribosomal RNA is filed under the name uncultured bacterium. Its description in RNAcentral is "partial 16S ribosomal RNA". It matches the Rfam family "Bacterial small subunit ribosomal RNA", at positions 355 to 509 of the family's 1533-position model. The record is from RNAcentral.
UAGGGAAUUUUCGUCAAUGGGCGCAAGCCUGAACGAGCAAUGCCGCGUGAACGAGGAAGGUCUUCGGAUCGUAAAGUUCUGUUGAGGGGAAAAGAGCGGAGAGAGGAAAUGCUUUCUGAUUGAUAUUACCCUUCGAGGAAGUCACGGCUAACUACGUGCC